GAUGAACGCUGGCGGCGUGCCUAAUACAUGCAAGUCGAACGCACAGCGAAAGGUGCUUGCACCUUUCAAGUGAGUGGCGAACGGGUGAGUAACACGUGGACAACCUGCCUCAAGGCUGGGGAUAACAUUUGGAAACAGAUGCUAAUACCGAAUAAAACUUAGUGUCGCAUGACACGAAGUUAAAAGGCGCUUUGGCGUCACCUAGAGAUGGAUCCGCGGUGCAUUAGUUAGUUGGUGGGGUAAAGGCCUACCAAGACAAUGAUGCAUAGCCGAGUUGGGAGACUGAUCGGCCACAUUGGGACUGAGACACGGACCAAACUCCUACGGGAGGCUGCAGUAGGGAAUCUUCCACAAUGGGCGAAAGCCUGAUGGAGCAACGCCGCGUGUGUGAUGAAGGCUUUCGGGUCGUAAAGCACUGUUGUAUGGGAAGAACAGCUAGAAUAGGGAAUGAUUUUAGUUUGACGGUACCAUACCAGAAAGGGACGGCUAAAUACGUGCCAGCCGCCGCGGUAA
This 513-nucleotide ribosomal RNA is filed under the name uncultured bacterium. RNAcentral's name for it is "partial 16S ribosomal RNA". It matches the Rfam family "Bacterial small subunit ribosomal RNA", at positions 28 to 523 of the family's 1533-position model. The record is from RNAcentral.